CAGUCGCCGCGGUAAUACGUAGGUGGCAAGCGUUGUCCGGAAUUAUUGGGCGUAAAGGGCUCGCAGGCGGUUUCUUAAGUCUGAUGUGAAAGCCCCCGGCUCAACCGGGGAGGGUCAUUGGAAACUGGGAAACUUGAGUGCAGAAGAGGAGAGUGGAAUUCCACGUGUAGCGGUGAAAUGCGUAGAAAUGUGGAGGAACACCAGUGGCGAAGGCGACUCUCUGGUCUGUAACUGACGCUGAGGAGCGAAAGCGUGGGGAGCGAACAGGAUUAGAUACCCCUGUAGUCCCUGUCUCUUAUAC
RNAcentral lists this ribosomal RNA (301 nucleotides) under uncultured bacterium. RNAcentral's name for it is "partial 16S ribosomal RNA". It matches the Rfam family "Bacterial small subunit ribosomal RNA", at positions 509 to 807 of the family's 1533-position model. The record is from RNAcentral.